UAGUUGGGAUCCAGGGGCUUCCUUGGCG
RNAcentral lists this small RNA (28 nucleotides) under Bombyx mori (domestic silkworm). Its description in RNAcentral is "ovarian small RNA-23178". Lineage: Eukaryota; Metazoa; Arthropoda; Insecta; Lepidoptera; Bombycidae. The record is from RNAcentral.